RNAcentral lists this ribosomal RNA (279 nucleotides) under uncultured bacterium. RNAcentral's name for it is "partial 16S ribosomal RNA". It matches the Rfam family "Bacterial small subunit ribosomal RNA", at positions 506 to 784 of the family's 1533-position model. The record is from RNAcentral.
UGCCAGCCGCCGCGGUAAUACGGGGGGAGCAAGCGUUGUUCGGAAUUACUGGGCGUAAAGGGUUUGUAGGCGGUUCGAUUAGUCGAAGGUGAAAGGUCACGGCUCACCCGUGGACAUGCCUCCGAUACUGUCGAACUUGAGGGCUGGAGAGGAAAGCGGAAUUCCCGGUGGAGCGGUGAAAUGCGUAGAUAUCGGGAAGAACACCAGUGGCGAAGGCGGCUUUCUGGACAGUACCUGACGCUAAGCAACGAAAGCCAGGGGAGCGAACGGGAUUAGAUA